Molecule: microRNA, 20 nt
Filed under: Ciona intestinalis (vase tunicate)
Lineage: Eukaryota; Metazoa; Chordata; Ascidiacea; Phlebobranchia; Cionidae
Description: cin-miR-4017-3p
Source: miRBase by way of RNAcentral
UAAGUGCAUGUAUGGUGCUA